CUACGGAGGGGGCUAGCGUUGUUCGGAAUUACUGGGCGUAAAGCGUACGUAGGCGGACUGAUCAGUUGGGGGUGAAAUCCCAGGGCUUAGCCCUGGAACUGCCUUCAAUACUGUCAGUCUAGAGAUUGGAAGAGGUGAGUGGAAUUCCUAGUGUAGAGGUGAAAUUCAUAGAUAUUAGGUGGAACACCAGUGGCGAAGGCGCCUAACUGGUCCGGUACUGACGCUGAGGAACGAAAGCGUGGGGAGCAAACAGGAUUAGAAACCCCAGUAGUCC
Molecule: ribosomal RNA, 274 nt
Filed under: uncultured bacterium
Lineage: Bacteria
Description: partial 16S ribosomal RNA
Rfam family: Bacterial small subunit ribosomal RNA
Source: RNAcentral